Long non-coding RNA from Pteropus alecto (black flying fox), 423 nucleotides. RefSeq lists it as uncharacterized. The transcript has 3 exons. NCBI's taxonomy places the organism in Eukaryota, Metazoa, Chordata, Mammalia, Chiroptera, Pteropodidae. The record is from RefSeq and is a predicted model, not a curated record.
CUCCAGUUUUAACUCUGCUCCAGUCGGACUAAACUACUCACUGCUCUCCACAUGUAUUUGGCACCUGUGGUCACCCCACCUCCCCCUUUAGAAUGUUUCCCUGCUCUCCUCUCAUUCUGCAAAGCACAACUCAAGGCUGCCGUGACCUCAUUCCUUCCAAGGUACCUUUCCACAAAUAUAACAGAAAAUUAUAGCACCCUUCAAACUCUGCAACUUGUUUUAUUUAAGAACUCAAUGCCAUGUCAAGAUGAAUAACAGAAGUGCCAAAAGUCAUUGUGGAUUUGCCAGCAAAUAUAUUUGUUGAUGGACUGGAUAAACGCUAAUUAUAGGGCAGUGAAUGAUCACAUAAUAAGAUAUAUCACAUGCAGGAUCACUGUUAAAUAAACUGAAGGGAUCAAAAGAGAAAGCAAGAGGACCAGCUGG